CCUACGGGAGGCAGCAGUGGGGAAUAUUGGACAAUGGGCGAAAGCCUGAUCCAGCAAUGCCGCGUGAGUGAUGAAGGCCCUAGGGUUGUAAAGCUCUUUUACCCGGGAUGAUAAUGACAGUACCGGGAGAAUAAGCUCCGGCUAACUCCGUGC
Molecule: ribosomal RNA, 153 nt
Filed under: uncultured bacterium
Lineage: Bacteria
Description: partial 16S ribosomal RNA
Rfam family: Bacterial small subunit ribosomal RNA
Source: RNAcentral